GACGAACGCUGGCGGCGUGCUUAACACAUGCCAGUCGAACGGAAAGGCCCGCUUUUGUGGGGUGCUCGAGUGGCGAACGGGUGAGUAACACGUGAGUAACCUGCCCUUGACUUUGGGAUAACUUCAGGAAACUGGGGCUAAUACCGGAUAGGAGCUCCUGCUGCAUGGUGGGGGUUGGAAAGUUUCGGCGGUUGGGGAUGGACUCGCGGCUUAUCAGCUUGUUGGUGGGGUAGUGGCUUACCAAGGCUUUGACGGGUAGCCGGCCUGAGAGGGUGACCGGCCACAUUGGGACUGAGAUACGGCCCAGACUCCUACGGGAGGCAGCAGUGGGGAAUAUUGCACAAUGGGCGGAAGCCUGAUGCAGCAACGCCGCGUGCGGGAUGACGGCCUUCGGGUUGUAAACCGCUUUCGCCUGUGACGAAGCGUGAGUGACGGUAAUGGGUAAAGAAGCACCGGCUAACUACGUG
This 467-nucleotide ribosomal RNA is filed under the name uncultured bacterium. Its description in RNAcentral is "partial 16S ribosomal RNA". It matches the Rfam family "Bacterial small subunit ribosomal RNA", at positions 28 to 507 of the family's 1533-position model. The record is from RNAcentral.